RNAcentral lists this ribosomal RNA (2082 nucleotides) under Triticum aestivum (bread wheat). Its description in RNAcentral is "partial small subunit ribosomal RNA". The record is from RNAcentral. Lineage: Eukaryota; Viridiplantae; Streptophyta; Magnoliopsida; Poales; Poaceae.
AUGGCGCAAGAUAAUACCAAAUUGUGUUACUUUUCCAAUACCAAUAAUAAUGAUUUCCUUAGUACUCUGAUUGCUCCUCUUAAUGAUGUUGAGUCUUGUGAAAUCAAUGCUGCUUUGCUGAAUCUUGUUAUGAAAGAUCAAUUCUCCGGCCUUCCUAGUGAAGAUGUCGCUACCCAUCUAAACAACUUUGUUGAUUUGUGUGAGAUGCAAAAGAAGAAAGAUAUGGAUAAUGAUAUUGUUAAAUUGAAGUUAUUUCCGUUUUCACUUAGAGAUCGUGCUAAAGUUUGGUUUUCGUCUUUGCCUAAGAAUAGUAUUGAUUCAUGGAAUAAGUGCAAAGAUGCUUUUAUCUCUAAGUAUUUUCGUCCCGCUAAGAUCAUCUCUCUUAGGAACGAUAUUAUGAAUUUUAAACAACUUGAUCAUGAGCAUGUUGCCCAAUCUUGGGAAAGAAUGAAAUUGAUGAUUCGCAAUUGCCCUACUCAUGGUUUGAACUUAUGGAUGAUCAUACAAAAAAUUUAUGCCGGAUUGAAUUUUGCUUCUAGAAAUCUUUUAGAUUCGGCUGCGGGAGGCACUUUUAUGGAGAUCACCUUAGGAGAAGCUACUAAACUCCUUGAUAACAUUAUGGCUAAUUAUUCUCAAUGGCACACCGAAAGAUCUACUAGUAAAAAAGUGCAUGCUAUAGAAGAAAUUAAUGUUUUGAGUGGAAAGAUGGAUGAACUUAAGAAAUUGUUUGCUACUAAGAGUGCUUCUAUUGAUCCCAAUGAUAUGCCUUUGUCUACUUUGAUUGAGAAUAAUAAUGAAUCUAUGGAUGUGAAUUUUGUUGGUAGGAAUAAUUUUGGUAACAAUGCUUAUAGAGGAAACUUUAAUUCUAGACCGUUCCCUAGUAAUUCCUCUAAUAAUUAUGAAAAUUCCUACAAUAAUUCUUAUGGUAAUUUUAAUAAGGUACCCUCUCAUUUUGAGAAUAGUGUUAAAGAAUUUAUGAUCUCUCAAAAGAAUUUUAAUGCCUUGCUUGAAGAGAAAUUGCUUAAAGUUGAUGAUUUGGCUAGGAACGUUGAUAGACUUUCGCUUGAUGUUGAUUCUUUGAAACUUAGAUCUACUCCUCCUAAGCAUGAUAUCAAUGAGUCUCUCAAAGCGAUGAGAAUUUCCAUUGAUGAGUGCAAAGAAAGAACCGCUAGAUUGCGUGCUAAGAACGAUUGCUUUGUAAAAGCGUGUUCUUCUAGUUUCCAUGAAAAUAAUGAUGAAGAUCUAAAAGUUAUUGAUGUGUCCCCUAUUAAAUCUUUGUUUUGCAAUAUGAAUCUUAAUAAUGAUGGGAUGGGAGAUGAGUCAACUUUAGUUAAAAGGCGUCCCAAUGAUUCGGAGUUUUUAGAUCUUGAUGCUAAAUUUGGUAAAAGUGGGAUUGGAGAGGUCAAGACUUUAAAUAUCAUUGAACCCACUAUCUUGGAUUUCAAGGAAUUUAAUUACGAUAAUUGUUCUUUAGUAGAUUGUAUUUCCUUGUUGCAAUCCGUUUUGAAUUCUCCUCAUGCUUAUAGUCAAAAUAAAGCUUUUACCAAACAUAUUGUUGAUGCCUUUAUGCAAUCUUAUGAUGAAAAACUUAAUUUGGAAGUUUCUAUACCUAGAAAACUUAAUGAUGAGUGGGAACCUACUAUAAAGAUUAAAAUUAAAGAUCAUGAGUGCUAUGCUUUGUGUGAUUUGGGUGCUGGUGUUUCCACGAUUCCAAAAACCUUAUGUGAUAUUCUAGGUUUCCAUGAUCUUGGUGAUUGCUCUUUAAAUUUGCACCUUGCGGAUUCUACCAUUAAGAAGCCUAUGGGAAGUAUCAAUGAUGUUAUUAUUGUUGUGAAUAGGAAUUAUGUGCCCGUAGAUUUUAUCGUUCUUGACAUAUAUUGCAAUCUUUCAUGUCCUAUUAUUCUUGGUAGACCUUUCCUUAGAACGAUUGGUGCGAUUAUUGAUAUGAAGGAAGGGAAUAUUAGAUUCCAAUUUCCAUUAAGGAAAGGCAUGGAGCACUUUCCAAGAAAGAAAGUCAAAUUACCUUAUGAAUCUAUCAUGCAAGCUACUUAUGAAUUGAGUGUCAAAGAUGGCACUACUUAG